This is a long non-coding RNA of Lotus japonicus, 1083 nucleotides long. RefSeq lists it as uncharacterized. The transcript has 2 exons. The record is from RefSeq and is a predicted model, not a curated record. Lineage: Eukaryota; Viridiplantae; Streptophyta; Magnoliopsida; Fabales; Fabaceae.
AUUUCUAAGCCUGUCGUUAUUCAACACUUAAACAAGAUAUAUACUUGGCAAAAGAAUGGGUCAAUCAAUUCGAUCAAAAUAUGAUACAUCAAUCACUCACUUGAUGUCUUAUUUCUUAGCCCGGCAGAGAAAACGGUAGCUUCUUGGGUGAGUGAGUGAAUAAUGAAACAAUCAUGCAUGUUUCAUUAUAGAAUAUUGAAUAAAAAAAGGAGCCUAGCUAGUAGCUAGUAGCUAGUAGAAGGUGCUAGAGGGAGAGGGAGGGAGAUGAUGAAGAAGAACAGGAAGCAUGAACAAUAAAUUAAAUUGGGGUUUGUGUUAUUGACCAGUGCAUCGUCAACAGUGCUGUAGGUUGAAUGGCAAACCAAGACGUGUGGGCGUGAAUGAAUGAAUGCAAAUUGCAACUUGCAGUGCAAGAGUGUGCGCGUGUGAGAUGAAGGAUUGUGACAAAGACUAACACCAAACAGCACGAGUGGCCUUUCCGUGCGUUUAGGGGCCCAAUCAAAUGCGGACUCUAGGUGAUAAUUUGGAUAACAGGAAGAAAACUUGAAAAAAUAGAACAAAAAGUUUAACUUGUUGAAAAGGGCAAGAGCAUGAUUGCAUUGAAGGUUUAACCAAGGUUGUUGACAAAGAGCAAAGUUGCCAUGAAUUUGGCACGAUGGUGGAUAGAUUCAUGAAAGAGCAUGUGCGACGCGGUGCAGAGCAUGAUCUCAAAGUUGACACAGAGCACGACUGAGGUAAUUAGCAUCGACGGGUGUGCUAACUUAAGCAACCCACUUAUUUGAAAUUUUUGAAAGCAAUCUAUUUAAAAGAAUAUUGUACCUAAGAGAAAAGAGAGGGAGUUCGCAUGAAUGUCUCCUCGGACAGAAAAGGAAGGCCUUAAACGAGGAAAAAUCUUACUAUGAGAUUUUGCAGCUGAAGAUCAUUGAGUUGCUUAGGUAGAGACUACACAAGACGUAAUCGUUAGUUUGUCUUCUCAAUUGUUUUGAUGUUGCUAGCUAUAAUUAGGAUUUAUUUGUUCUUCAUGUAUAUGUAAUAGAUGAUAUGAACCUCACUUUAUUGUUUUACAUAGUUUAGUUUCCAUUA